GGUGGUAUCACUGGAAGAGCUUGAAGGGGCUCGAGACCCCAUAUGUACAACAAUGCCAAGCAACCAGAGCUUCCAGGGACUAAGCCACUACCUAAAGACUAUGCAUGGACUGACCCUGGACUCUGACCUCAUAGGUAGCAAUGAAUAUCCUAGUAAGAGCACCAGUGGAAGGGGAAGCUCUGGAUCCUGCUAAGACUGAACCCCCAGUGAACGUGAUUGUUGGGGGGAGGGCGGCAAUAGGGGGAGGAUGGGGAGGGGAACACCCAUAAAGAAGGGGAGGGGGAGGGGUUAGGGGGAUGUUGGCCCCAUAAACUGGGAAAGGGAAUAACACUCGAAAUGUAUAUAAGAAAUACUCAAGUUAAUAAUAAUAAUAAUAAUAAUAAAAGCAUCUGCUACAAAAGUUCUCAAGAUAGAAAGUAAAAAAAAAAAA
Molecule: long non-coding RNA, 430 nt
Filed under: Rattus norvegicus (Norway rat)
Lineage: Eukaryota; Metazoa; Chordata; Mammalia; Rodentia; Muridae
Description: long non-coding RNA NONRATT016286
Source: RNAcentral